RNAcentral lists this ribosomal RNA (460 nucleotides) under uncultured bacterium. RNAcentral describes it as "partial 16S ribosomal RNA". It matches the Rfam family "Bacterial small subunit ribosomal RNA", at positions 338 to 795 of the family's 1533-position model. The record is from RNAcentral.
CCUACGGGAGGCAGCAGUGAGGAAUAUUGGUCAAUGGGCGCGAGCCUGAACCAGCCAAGUCGCGUGAGGGAUGACGGUCCUACGGAUUGUAAACCUCUUUUGCCGGGGAGCAAGCGUGCGUUCGUGAACACACGUCGAGAGUACCCUGAGAAAAAGCAUCGGCUAACUCCGUGCCAGCAGCCGCGGUAAUACGGAGGAUGCGAGCGUUAUCCGGUUUUAUUGGGUUUAAAGGGUGCGUAGGCGGGAUGCAAAGUCAGCGGUAAAAAUGCGGUGCUCAACGCCGUCGAGCCGUUGAAACUGGCGUUCUUGAGUGGGCGAGAAGUAUGCGGAAUGCGUGGUGUAGCGGUGAAAUGCAUAGAUAUCACGCAGAACUCCGAUUGCGAAGGCAGCUUACUAAACUGCCACUGACAUUGAUGCUCGAAAGUGUGGGUAUCAAACAGGAUUAGAUACCCCUGUAGUC